Molecule: ribosomal RNA, 497 nt
Filed under: uncultured bacterium
Lineage: Bacteria
Description: partial 16S ribosomal RNA
Rfam family: Bacterial small subunit ribosomal RNA
Source: RNAcentral
GAUGAACGCCGGCGGCGUGCCUAAUACAUGCAAGUCGAGCGAACAGACGAGGAGCUUGCUCCUCUGACGUUAGCGGCGGACGGGUGAGUAACACGUGGAUAACCUACCUAUAAGACUGGGAUAACUUCGGGAAACCGGAGCUAAUACCGGAUAAUAUAUUGAACCGCAUGGUUCAAUAGUGAAAGACGGUUUUGCUGUCACUUAUAGAUGGAUCCGCGCCGCAUUAGCUAGUUGGUAAGGUAACGGCUUACCAAGGCGACGAUGCGUAGCCGACCUGAGAGGGUAGCGGCCCACACGGAGACUAAGCCACGCUCCAGCCCCCUGCGGAAGGGGCAAGAGGGGAUUCUCCCACAGGGGGGGAAACCCUGACGGAGAAACGCCGGGUGAGUAAUAAGGGUGUUGGGAUCUAAAAACUUUUUUUUGAGGAAAAAAAAAAUGUGAAAGUAACUAUGCACUUCUUGAGGUUACCUAAUAAGAAAGCCACGGCUAACUACGUG